RNAcentral lists this long non-coding RNA (368 nucleotides) under Homo sapiens (human). RNAcentral's name for it is "non-protein coding lnc-IFNK-8:1". The record is from RNAcentral. Lineage: Eukaryota; Metazoa; Chordata; Mammalia; Primates; Hominidae.
UUUGAAAGGCAGGGCUCCAAGUUGGUGUGGAUGAAGAUGCUUAAGGCACCAGAGAGUGUCCUUGCUAAGCACUGCCGGUACCUGUGAAGGAAGCUCUUAUACGUAGGCCUCAUCAUUUACAUGAGCUAUGGCAGCCAUCGUCUGGAAAGGGUACAAUGUGGUUCAUGCCUCCAGGGUCAUGAUAGGACUCACUGACUCAGCUGAUGCUGCCGGGGACCACAGUGGGAGACUUCAGCAUCUACAUUAGCAGGAACAUCAUCCGUGUUAGGAAAUCCAUGGAUGGGUCCCAGAGAGAUAUCCAGCUGUUGGUACCAGAGCAGUGAGCUGGUGAACUGGGCAGUGGAGGGCCAUCACAGCAGUGCCUACCC